GUCUGUACUAAAGUGUAAACCGUGUAAACCUGUUUCUUACUGAAAUAAGCGCCAGGCUGGAGUGGGAACAAGACUGGACAUGCCGAUCCCACCCAGACUGGGACAGACGUAGUUCCAGACCCCGAUGCUCCCACGUCGGAUCUUCUGACCCACAGCCAGCUCCAUGAAGAAGAGCGGGAUGCCGAUGAUGAGGAGGAGGAUAAAGUAGGGAACCAGGUAAGGGAAGCGCCACACAUUCCCCAGGCCCACAGAGAAGCCCA
This is a long non-coding RNA of Plectropomus leopardus (leopard coralgrouper), 260 nucleotides long. RefSeq lists it as uncharacterized. Lineage: Eukaryota; Metazoa; Chordata; Actinopteri; Perciformes; Serranidae. The record is from RefSeq and is a predicted model, not a curated record.